GAUGAACGCUGACAGAAUGCUUAACACAUGCAAGUCGAUGGGGAAGUGGUGCUUGCACCAUGGUAACCAUGGCGGACGGGUGAGUAACGCGUAAGGAACUUGCCUGCGGGACUGGGAUAACAGCAGGAAACUGCUGAUAAUACCGGAUAAGGUCAUUAAGCUGCAUAGCUUAGUGAUGAAAGGAGACGCCUGCGGAGAGCCUUGCGUCCUAUUAGCUAGUUGGAGGGGUAACGGCCCACCAAGGCGAAGAUAGGUAGCCGGCCUGAGAGGGUGGACGGCCACAAGGGGACUGAGAUACGGCCCUUACUCCUACGGGAGGCAGCAGUGGGGAAUAUUGGACAAUGGGGGCAACCCUGAUCCAGCAAUUCUGUGUGCACGAAGACGGUUUUCGGAGUGUAAAGUGCUUUCAGCAGGGAAGAAGGAAGUGACGGUACCUGCAGAAGGAGCGACGGCUAAAUACGUG
RNAcentral lists this ribosomal RNA (463 nucleotides) under uncultured bacterium. RNAcentral's name for it is "partial 16S ribosomal RNA". It matches the Rfam family "Bacterial small subunit ribosomal RNA", at positions 28 to 507 of the family's 1533-position model. The record is from RNAcentral.